AAAUUGAAGAGUUUGAUCAUGGCUCAGAUUGAACGCUGGCGGCAGGCCUAACACAUGCAAGUCGAGCGGUAGCACAGAGAGCUUGCUCUCGGGUGACGAGCGGCGGACGGGUGAGUAAUGUCUGGGAAACUGCCUGAUGGAGGGGGAUAACUACUGGAAACGGUAGCUAAUACCGCAUAACGUCGCAAGACCAAAGUGGGGGACCUUCGGGCCUCAUGCCAUCAGAUGUGCCCAGAUGGGAUUAGCUAGUAGGUGGGGUAACGGCUCACCUAGGCGACGAUCCCUAGCUGGUCUGAGAGGAUGACCAGCCACACUGGAACUGAGACACGGUCCAGACUCCUACGGGAGGCAGCAGUGGGGAAUAUUGCACAAUGGGCGCAAGCCUGAUGCAGCCAUGCCGCGUGUGUGAAGAAGGCCUUCGGGUUGUAAAGCACUUUCAGCGGGGAGGAAGGCGUUAAGGUUAAUAACCUUGGCGAUUGACGUUACCCGCAGAAGAAGCACCGGCUAACUCCGUGCCAGCAGCCGCGGUAAUACGGAGGGUGCAAGCGUUAAUCGGAAUUACUGGGCGUAAAGCGCACGCAGGCGGUCUGUCAAGUCGGAUGUGAAAUCCCCGGGCUCAACCUGGGAACUGCAUUCGAAACUGGCAGGCUAGAGUCUUGUAGAGGGGGGUAGAAUUCCAGGUGUAGCGGUGAAAUGCGUAGAGAUCUGGAGGAAUACCGGUGGCGAAGGCGGCCCCCUGGACAAAGACUGACGCUCAGGUGCGAAAGCGUGGGGAGCAAACAGGAUUAGAUACCCUGGUAGUCCACGCCGUAAACGAUGUCGAUUUGGAGGUUGUGCCCUUGAGGCGUGGCUUCCGGAGCUAACGCGUUAAAUCGACCGCCUGGGGAGUACGGCCGCAAGGUUAAAACUCAAAUGAAUUGACGGGGGCCCGCACAAGCGGUGGAGCAUGUGGUUUAAUUCGAUGCAACGCGAAGAACCUUACCUGGUCUUGACAUCCACAGAACUUUCCAGAGAUGGAUUGGUGCCUUCGGGAACUGUGAGACAGGUGCUGCAUGGCUGUCGUCAGCUCGUGUUGUGAAAUGUUGGGUUAAGUCCCGCAACGAGCGCAACCCUUAUUCUUUGUUGCCAGCGGUCCGGCCGGGAACUCAAAGGAGACUGCCAGUGAUAAACUGGAGGAAGGUGGGGAUGACGUCAAGUCAUCAUGGCCCUUACGACCAGGGCUACACACGUGCUACAAUGGCAUAUACAAAGAGAAGCGACCUCGCGAGAGCAAGCGGACCUCAUAAAGUAUGUCGUAGUCCGGAUUGGAGUCUGCAACUCGACUCCAUGAAGUCGGAAUCGCUAGUAAUCGUAGAUCAGAAUGCUACGGUGAAUACGUUCCCGGGCCUUGUACACACCGCCCGUCACACCAUGGGAGUGGGUUGCAAAAGAAGUAGGUAGCUUAACCUUCGGGAGGGCGCUUACCACUUUGUGAUUCAUGACUGGGGUGAAGUCGUAACAAGGUAACCGUAGGGGAACCUGCGGUUGGAUCACCUCCUUA
RNAcentral lists this ribosomal RNA (1540 nucleotides) under Klebsiella pneumoniae. Its description in RNAcentral is "bacterial SSU rRNA". It matches the Rfam family "Bacterial small subunit ribosomal RNA". The record is from RNAcentral. Lineage: Bacteria; Pseudomonadati; Pseudomonadota; Gammaproteobacteria; Enterobacterales; Enterobacteriaceae.